This 380-nucleotide ribosomal RNA is filed under the name uncultured eukaryote. RNAcentral's name for it is "partial 18S ribosomal RNA". It matches the Rfam family "Eukaryotic small subunit ribosomal RNA", at positions 592 to 976 of the family's 1831-position model. The record is from RNAcentral.
CAAUAGCGUAUAUUAAAGUUGUUGCAGUUAAAAAGCUCGUAGUUGGAUUUGUGGCGUACGGUGUGUUCCGGGCACUUGUUGUCUGAGUAACCUGCUGUUGCCAUCCUUGGGUGGAACCUGUAUGGCAUUAGGUUGUCGUGCAGGGGAUGCCCAUCAUUUACUGUGAAAAAAUUAGAGUGUUCAAAGCAGGCUUAUGCCGUUGAAUAUAUUAGCAUGGAAUAAUGAGAUAGGACUUUUUUGCUAUUUUGUUGGUUUGCGCAAAGAGGUAAUGAUUAAUAGGGACAGUUGGGGGUAUUCGUAUUCCAUAGUCAGAGGUGAAAUUCUUGGAUUUUUGGAAGACGAACUACUGCGAAAGCAUUUACCAAGGAUGUUUUCAUUAA